Molecule: ribosomal RNA, 259 nt
Filed under: uncultured prokaryote
Description: partial 16S ribosomal RNA
Rfam family: Bacterial small subunit ribosomal RNA
Source: RNAcentral
UACGUAGGUGGCAAGCGUUAUCCGGAAUUAUUGGGCGUAAAGAGCGCGCAGGUGGUUGAUUAAGUCUGAUGUGAAAGCCCACGGCUUAACCGUGGAGGGUCAUUGGAAACUGGUCGACUUGAGUGCAGAAGAGGGAAGUGGAAUUCCAUGUGUAGCGGUGAAAUGCGUAGAGAUAUGGAGGAACACCAAUGGCGAAGGCAGGUCUCUGGGCAGUUACUGACGCUCAUGCGCGAAAGCUGGGGUAGCGAACCGGAUUAGA